RNAcentral lists this ribosomal RNA (477 nucleotides) under uncultured bacterium. Its description in RNAcentral is "bacterial SSU rRNA". It matches the Rfam family "Bacterial small subunit ribosomal RNA", at positions 30 to 507 of the family's 1533-position model. The record is from RNAcentral.
AUUGAACGCUGGCGGCAUGCCUUACACAUGCAAGUCGAACGGUAACAGGUCUUCGGAUGCUGACGAGUGGCGAACGGGUGAGUAAUACAUCGGAACGUGCCCGAUCGUGGGGGAUAACGGAGCGAAAGCUUUGCUAAUACCGCAUACGAUCUACGGAUGAAAGCAGGGGACCGCAAGGCCUUGCGCGGACGGAGCGGCCGAUGGCAGAUUAGGUAGUUGGUGGGAUAAAAGCUUACCAAGCCGACGAUCUGUAGCUGGUCUGAGAGGACGACCAGCCACACUGGGACUGAGACACGGCCCAGACUCCUACGGGAGGCAGCAGUGGGGAAUUUUGGACAAUGGGCGAAAGCCUGAUCCAGCCAUGCCGCGUGAAGGAAGAAGGUUCUAUGGAUUGUAAACUUCUUUUGUAAGGGGAUAAAGUACACUACGUGUAGUGUUUUGUAUGUACCUUACGAAUAAGGAUCGGCUAACUCCGUG